GCUCAGCUAAAUAUAUGGCACAAAGAAGCAGUUUUUAUCCUGAAUUAUGCAGAGGCCAAAGCUAUAUGCUUUAGACAAAUGAAAUAAUGUUUUGUUUGGGCUUGGUGUUCAGACGGGUUAUUUAUAGUGCACUAGCUCGAUAUCUCGACAGUUUGUAUGUUAAUCUUAACGGAGUUAACGAAGUUUACCCCUAAACGGAGGCUGCCGGGUGGCUGGUGGACGACUGCUUCACCGGCUGGUGGUGGUGCCGGCGUUGGUGGAGAUAGCUGCUGGCGGCACUGGGAUUCCGUCGAUGGCUGGCGGCGCUGGGGUUCUGUCGUCGUUGAUAGAGAGAGAGGAAGAGGGAGAAGAGAGGUAGGUGCAGCUAUUUUUGUGAAAAGAAUUAGAGUUUGAGUUAUUUUGUUUAAAAGUGUGAUAAUGGUGGAUUUAAUCUCAACCAUUGAUCGGAUGACAUAAAUGACUAUGAUUAAAAUUGAGAGGAGUCAAAUGAAAUAGAAAUUGGGGAUUUUAAUUUGAGGUCAAAUUGGAAAUGAAUUUUGGCUAAAAUUGACAUAUACAUAUAUAAAAUGCGGCUAGAAAGUAAAUGAAAUGGGAAAAUUGAAUUGAAU
RNAcentral lists this long non-coding RNA (608 nucleotides) under Capsicum annuum. RNAcentral describes it as "long non-coding RNA (CANN_LNC017147)". Lineage: Eukaryota; Viridiplantae; Streptophyta; Magnoliopsida; Solanales; Solanaceae. The record is from RNAcentral.